CGGGGUGGAGUAACGCGUGGGUAACCUACUCUGUACACACGGAUAACAUACCGAAAGGUAUGCUAAUACAGGAUAAUAUAUUUGAGAGGCAUCUCUUGAAUAUCAAAGGUGAGCCAGUACAGGAUGGACCCGCGUCUGAUUAGCUAGUUGGUAAGGUAACGGCUUACCAAGGCGACGAUCAGUAGCCGACCUGAGAGGGUGAUCGGCCACAUUGGAACUGAGACACGGUCCAA
RNAcentral lists this ribosomal RNA (233 nucleotides) under uncultured bacterium. RNAcentral's name for it is "partial 16S ribosomal RNA". It matches the Rfam family "Bacterial small subunit ribosomal RNA", at positions 104 to 334 of the family's 1533-position model. The record is from RNAcentral.